UACGUAGGGUCCGAGCGUUGUCCGGAUUUACUGGGCUUAAAGCGCGCGCAGGCGGCGGUGCUGGCCCGGCGUGAAAGCCCCCGGCUCAACCGGGGAGAGUCGUCGGGGACCGCACCGCUUGAGGGCGGUAGGGGAGACUGGAAUUCCUGGUGUAGCGGUGAAAUGCGCAGAUAUCAGGAGGAACACCGGUGGCGAAGGCGGGUCUCUGGGCCGAUACUGACGCUGAGGAGCGAAAGCGUGGGGAGCGAACAGG
This 253-nucleotide ribosomal RNA is filed under the name uncultured bacterium. Its description in RNAcentral is "partial 16S ribosomal RNA". It matches the Rfam family "Bacterial small subunit ribosomal RNA", at positions 524 to 776 of the family's 1533-position model. The record is from RNAcentral.